This 510-nucleotide long non-coding RNA is filed under the name Nicotiana benthamiana. RNAcentral describes it as "long non-coding RNA (NBEN_LNC010074)". The record is from RNAcentral. Lineage: Eukaryota; Viridiplantae; Streptophyta; Magnoliopsida; Solanales; Solanaceae.
CUGAAUUCCCUUUUCUCCUUCAGAUCCUUUCAAAACCCUAGCUUCCACCCUUUACUACAAUCGUAAAAUCUCCCAAAUCAAUAGCCUCCAAGGUCAUCAGAGGCCUGUAUCCACCUCCUAUGGGUUCUACAUGCCCGAUUAUCAUGGUUUCAAGACUAGAUCUUGGAAAAGUUUGUUCCAAACCUUGGUUGAUUUCAGUUUGUGGUUGUUCUCCGGUCGUCUCUAACUUUUCUCCGGCUAGCCAUGACCAUCCGAGUCAGACCUUUUGACUCUCUUGCUUAGAUUGAUGGUUUUCAAAGCCUUUCUCACCACUUAGGGUUAUUUUGAAAUCCUAAACCUUCAAUGUUAUUCCAAUUUCUUUUAGGUCUGUUUUAGAUCUAUGCUUGCUCUAAACUUCUAAAUGUUUUCUUGAAGUUUCUUUCAAAAACCCUUAUCUUUUCUAACUAGUUUAUCUGUUAAGUUUAUAUAACAUGUUUAGCUGUGUUUCCUUUUGCCAUGCUUCUACUUGAG